AUAAGAGCACAAAGCUUGAGAACCACGGAUGUUAAUUCUAAGCCAAAGGAAAGCUGGAUCAUUUCAACUUCCAGAUCGUUUAUCAUUAUGGUGAACUGUCAAUUUAUGGAACAAUUUUUCAUU
Long non-coding RNA from Rhagoletis zephyria (snowberry fruit fly), 123 nucleotides. RefSeq lists it as uncharacterized. NCBI's taxonomy places the organism in Eukaryota, Metazoa, Arthropoda, Insecta, Diptera, Tephritidae. The record is from RefSeq and is a predicted model, not a curated record.